Molecule: non-coding RNA, 73 nt
Organism: Nippostrongylus brasiliensis
Lineage: Eukaryota; Metazoa; Nematoda; Chromadorea; Rhabditida; Heligmosomidae
Source: Rfam
UUACGGGUGANCACAGUGGUUAGUGCACUCUGCCGGAAACAGAAAGACGCGGGUUCAAUUCCCGUCCCAUGUC